CCUACGGGUGGCAGCAGUGAGGAAUAUUGGUCAAUGGGCGGGAGCCUGAACCAGCCAAGUCGCGUGAGGGAUGACGGUCCUGUGGGUUGUAAACCUCUUUUGCCAGGGAACAAAGUCCGCCACGUGUACCCCUUUGCAUGUACCUUAUGAAUAAGCAUCGGCUAACUCCGUGCCAGCAGCCGCGGUAAUACGGAGGAUCCGAGCGUUAUCCGGUUUUAUUGGGUUUAAAGGGUGCGCAGGCGGCGUGUCAAGUCAGCGGUAAAAUUUCGGGGCUCAACCCAGGACGGCAGUUGAUACUGGCGUGCUAGAGUGGGAGAGAAGUAGGCGGAAUUCGUGGUGUAGCGGUGAAAUGCUUAGAUAUCACGAAGAACUCCGAUUGCGAAGGCAGCAUACCGGACUGAAACUGACGCUGAGGCACGAAAGCGUGGGUAUCGAACAGGAUUAGAUACCCUAGUAGUC
This 459-nucleotide ribosomal RNA is filed under the name uncultured bacterium. RNAcentral's name for it is "partial 16S ribosomal RNA". It matches the Rfam family "Bacterial small subunit ribosomal RNA", at positions 338 to 795 of the family's 1533-position model. The record is from RNAcentral.